CAUUUAACAUUUUGCAUUCAAACAGAUACCAGAAUCAGCAGCAGCAUCAUCAGCAUCUGCAUCCACAUUCAUGCAUUCAUAUGGCCAACUUACAUUUACGAAAGUUCGCCCCAAACCGCAGAUAUAGACGAGAACUCCGUGAUAUCGGUUGCAACUAAAAUGUCAAUCAGUUAAAAUAAAUCACAAACUCGCCAACAAUUGUCGGACGCUCGCAUUGCCACUUCGCUCGCUCCUCGUGUUCAGUGUCUCCUCUUCUUCACGCCAACAAAGGCAAAUUGCCAAUUGACGACGAUAAUAUAGCCGGGCUACAAUCGGCAGCUAUCACAAAGUGAAACGAAGAAGUACAAGGAACAGAGAA
Musca domestica (house fly) is the source of this 358-nucleotide long non-coding RNA. RefSeq lists it as uncharacterized. The record is from RefSeq and is a predicted model, not a curated record. The transcript is spliced from 2 exons. NCBI's taxonomy places the organism in Eukaryota, Metazoa, Arthropoda, Insecta, Diptera, Muscidae.